GUUUUCUCGGAAAGAGGUGGAGCGGUUAGUCCAAAAGGCCAUCCUGAAAUUAACCCUAGAAUGGUAAUCUAACCAUGAUCCGAGGUAAAAUCAUUUAGGCGGGAAAUUCCCCAAAUUAUACCAUCUUUUUGCAAUCCCCCCCAUCCCUGUCGACUAUCCUUCACUUGUCUCUGAAGAAAUGGCCGGUGGUUAUCGGACAAAUUCGCCGGCGGCGAAGAAGACAGCCGUGGACGAAAAAGUGCCGGAUAAAGAUUAUAUCGGUGAAGACUCGGUGAUCUUUGUGGAUGAUUCGUCUUUGGAAUCGGAAAUCGCGCAGCUUCGUGGACGAUGGGAACUGGCGUCUGUUUUCAAUUUCUUGAGCGUUUUCGAGCCACUUAUUGGUAGUGAUUUGAAAUUGACAGCAGAGGAGAUCGAGACUGGUCUUGUUACGUCCAACGGUUCGCUUGCUCAACUUCACAUUAAGUUAUUGAAGGGGAUACCACCUGUGAGUAAAACAUUGAAUGGCUCUGAUGCAUGGGUGACUGUACUUUGUAAGAAAAUUGCUAUAUGGUGGCCAUGGGUUGCUGAAGGCGAGAUGCCCUUGACUGUAGCCAAUGGAAAGGAGAUAUCCAGAUACAAGGAACUAGAUCCAACAGAUCGUUUACGAAUUCUGAAAGCGCUUUGCGAAAUCCGUGCUGAUCAAGAUGAUGCUGUGUCAUAUAUUAAUGAGACUUUGAAAAAUGGAACUGAAAUUUCCUGUUUCCGCAAAGAUAAGAUU
Molecule: unclassified non-coding RNA, 757 nt
Filed under: Hevea brasiliensis (rubber tree)
Lineage: Eukaryota; Viridiplantae; Streptophyta; Magnoliopsida; Malpighiales; Euphorbiaceae
Source: RNAcentral